AGGAAGGAGAAGUCGUAACAAGGUUUCCGUAGGUGAACCUGCGGAAGGAUCAUUGUCGAGACCGAAAAAUAUACGAGUGAUUCGAACAACCUGUGAAAUAAGCAAAUGAACGUCCUGCUUGUUGCCUUUACUCUACUUUGGGGGGAGACGCAUGAUGGAGGAUGCAUGAACAAAAACUGACGCAGCAUUGCGCCAAGGGAAUAUUGAAAUUUAUGAGCCUUAUAAUGGGCUUUGUAGCUUGGCGUGUUGUUUCACGCCUUGCAGGUAGACAUGACUCUCGGCAAUGGAUAUCUUGGCUCUUGCAUCGAUGAAGAGCGCAGCGAAAUGCGAUACGUGGUGCGAAUUGCAGAAUCCCGCGAACCAUCGAGUCUUUGAACGCAAGUUGCGCCUGAGGCCAGCAGGCUAAGGGCACGUUCUCCUGGGCGUCAAUCGUUGUGUUGCUCCGUGCCAAUCAUCUCACCAGUAGGUGUGUUUGGCUAGGCUUGGAUGUGUAGAUUGAUCCAUCGUGCUCAUUGGUGCGGCGGGUUGAAGAGCAGGUUUCGUCUCAAAGGUCGCAAACAAUAUGGGGUGGGUGAAAGCUCUGAUGUUACCUAUGUUGUCUUGUACUGGCUGAAGAGAUGGAUCGCACUAUUGAUGUGAUCCCGGACCAAGCGCCUAUGUCUUAUGGCAGCUUGAAAUGUGACCCCAGGAUGGGCGAGGCCACCCGCUGAGUUUAAGCAUAUCAAUA
RNAcentral lists this ribosomal RNA (727 nucleotides) under Telipogon sp. Heidelberg BG 108219. RNAcentral's name for it is "eukaryotic LSU rRNA". The stretch from base 273 to 428 matches the Rfam family "5.8S ribosomal RNA". Lineage: Eukaryota; Viridiplantae; Streptophyta; Magnoliopsida; Asparagales; Orchidaceae. The record is from RNAcentral.